Long non-coding RNA from Oncorhynchus keta (chum salmon), 222 nucleotides. RefSeq lists it as uncharacterized. Lineage: Eukaryota; Metazoa; Chordata; Actinopteri; Salmoniformes; Salmonidae. The record is from RefSeq and is a predicted model, not a curated record. The transcript has 3 exons.
UGCCAUUUAUAAAAACGACAGGGGUAAAGUAAGGACAAAGGAAUUACAUUCCUCCAUGCAAGGACGUGUUCUUUGGAAAAGUCAUCCUUAGUAAAUGUGCCAAUGUCACAUUAACUAUUGGUUGCACCAAGAAACAGGAUGGGUUACAUAAAGAGACCAGGAUCCACUUCUUAGGGACAAACGCUGUCGCUGCCACCGCAAACGCUCAACUAGCUCAUUAUG